GACAGUCAUGGAAAAUGAUGGAUCUGGAGAAAACACAGAUGAGCUGCUCUCUGCAGAUGUGGAUGAUGGUGUUGAUGUUUAUGGCCUCAUACCUCUGGCAUUGUCUUAUGAUUGCUGUGAUGUGCUUCUGGACACCAUUGACAGUCAGCUAAGUCACCUACAGAUCCACAAGCAAACACAAGCCUAUG
Long non-coding RNA from Danio aesculapii, 188 nucleotides. RefSeq lists it as uncharacterized. The record is from RefSeq and is a predicted model, not a curated record. The transcript is spliced from 3 exons. Lineage: Eukaryota; Metazoa; Chordata; Actinopteri; Cypriniformes; Danionidae.